UAUGGCGAGGCCGCUCCUUAUAUGGUGAGCCCCAGCGCCCCCGCCCUAUUGGUCGGCGGUUCCGGCACCUCCGUCUCCCAUUGGCCCGCCUUAGGGGGGGGCCGUUCAUUUGCAUUGGCAUACCAGGCCAGCUGCUGUCAUUCUAGCGUCAGGCCGAGGCGCGGAGUCCGGAGGGUCCGGCGUCUCUUAAAGAGACAGGAGUUUGGAGCGAGUACGGUCUCCGCCCCCUCCGCACGAAAGAGCCCUGCAUUUGAGAUUCAGAAAACCUUAAGUCACAGCCUCUGAACACCAGCUUCCUGAUGUGUAAUAUGAGGAUAAUGAAGCAAAACCUAACAGGAUUCUUUAAAGCUUGUAUAAAUGUAAGUUAUUACCCAUAUUGUCUGAUGUUUUAAACCCUUUUUCUAGCAAGGUCAUACUUGGGAUUCUCAGCUUUAACCAAGGAAAUGAGAGAAUGUGACACUUCCCUGUUCAACCCUCUUUUCCUCCUCUUUAGGUUACAGUGAGGUUUUCCAACAGACAUCAGCAGACCCAAGCAUGGGGUACAGGAUCACAGAACUGAAGCUAGAAGGGACCUCAGAGGCCAUCUGAUUUCCAUCUGUCCCUUUCCCAUUUUACAGAUGAAGAAAUGAGACCCAGAGGUGUUAAAUGAAUUUGCCCAAGGUGGUCACAAAAGGUAUAUCAUGGUAAAUUUGAACUCAGGUUCUCUGAUACCUGCAUUUAGUGCUCUUUUGACUACACUAUACUGGUGGGGUGUGUGUGUGUGUGUGUGUGUGUGCAUAUGCAAGUGUGCACUUGUGGCUUAAUCAUGGCCAAAUUUCACUCCAGCUUCCCUGGAGUGGAUCAUAACAGCUUCUAGCUGGGGCCCCCACAUUCCUUCCCUGGAGCUUCUCAUAUCCCUGAGAUAAUGUGGUUAAACACUUUUCUGAAGUAGUGGUGUAGUGACCACGAGGUUUUUUUUUUCCCCUUUUCUUUUUUCUUUCCUAAAGUGCUUUGAAAACACAGGAUUUUAAUACUUCCAAAGAGUCACAGAACUUAAAUCUAGGUUCCAGGUUUAGACUUUAGUCCAAUCUCAUUAUUUUACAGAUAAGGAAACAGAUAGAGGGGAAAGUGGUUUGUCUGAAUCAUUAAACAGCGGCCCCAGAAUCCAGGUUGAGUCCAAAUCCAAUGACCUUUCCACUGACCCAAACUGAGAUCUCUUGCAACACUGUAGUUAUUAUAUACACCUUAUCAACUCUUCCAUGUCCUCCUAUAAACUCUCCACAGGGAUUCCACUCAGUGAAGCUAGCGGCCUUACUCUGGACCCUUCAGCAUUUUGUAAGGACUAGAUCUAUCUCUAUCUGUUGUUAUGCUUUACUUGGCUACUUGGUUCAUUUAAUUUUUCUUCUGCCACUUUUUUCAAUAAAGAGCACCAA
RNAcentral lists this long non-coding RNA (1412 nucleotides) under Vombatus ursinus (common wombat). RNAcentral describes it as "lncRNA (ENSVURG00010005996.1)". The record is from RNAcentral. Lineage: Eukaryota; Metazoa; Chordata; Mammalia; Diprotodontia; Vombatidae.